CGUGAAGAAGGUCCUUGCCUCUCCUUCAUCUUCUGGGAGGCCUCCCAGCCAUGCUUCCUGUUAAGUCUGCAGAACUAGUCUUCUGUAGCAGCCGAAAUCUGGUCUUCAGGGCAAGUUGCAAUCUGGUUCUCCACUUUCCAAAUUCAGCUCCUGGUGCUCCCGGACACAGAUCCUGUUCUUCAGUCUCCUCCUGCCCUGGACACCGAGUUCAGCUUGCUCAGCAAAGCCUGCAUGUCGUGCAUCAGUCAGCAUUUUUUUCUUAUUUUAACCCUGACUUUUCCUUGAAGUCCAGACCAAGUUUGACCUUCUCAAGGAGUCUCCUGAGACCACUUCAGCCUGUAGUGGUUUCUGUGCACUGAUAGCUCUUCCUGUCCACACUGUAUGAGCACAGACACCCUCACAGCACCUUCAUUUCCCAACUGUGCUUCCACGCUCCUAAAGGCAGGAUACAGGGCCUUCUCGUACUGGGGAAGAAAAAGAAUAUUCUGUCUCCCAUGUGCCCUCUGGACUGUAUGUCUCCACAAACACAGGUUGAGCAUCUCUAAUCCAAAAGUCUGAGAUGCUCCCAAAUCUAGCACUUUGAGUGCUGAUGUGAAAUGCAAAGGAAAUGCUCACUGGGGCAUUUCGGCCUUCAGAUUUUUGGAUUAGGAAUGCUGUGUAUAAUGCAAAUAUUCCAAAAUUGGAACAAAUGUGAAAUCUGAAACACAUCUGGUCACGAGCAUUCUGGAUAACGGAUUCUCAACCUGUAGUAAAUAGAACCUCAGUGUUUAAACACGUAAGAAAAGACGUAAGGAACUGUUGUAAAUUUAAAAAGAUGCAUGGCAAAUACAGGUGCAACAUCCUAAAUGUAUUGGAGAUUACAUCUCUGCUGUUACGCACAUUGGUUUGCAGGUAGAAAUAAAAAUGGUCCACUUUAACUCAGUAAAUUGUAAUUAAGUUAACCUUUUAAAAGUCUUUAGAACAGGAAGCACGAGGUAAGAAUUCUCUAGUCCUGGGGUUCUCCACCUUCUCCGCUGACCUCGGGGCUAGUGAACUCCUUGAUGUGCUGCUGUCACGGGCACUGGCUUUGUAGAUGUUCAGCAUAACCCAGGCCUCUCCCACUUUAUGCCAGUACCGCCUUGUCUGGUUGUGGCAACCAAACAGUCUGAGAUGUUUCCAAAUGUCCCCUGGGGGGAUUAGAGUGGACCCCAGCUGAGCAUCACUGGCCUGCAGAUUCACAUUGGGAGUGACGUUUACACCCUUGGAAGUGGUGGAUUGGUAUCUCACUCUAGUGCCAGCGUGGGAAGUUGGGGCAUCAGUUGCCAUGUGCAUACAGAAUGUGAGAGAGUGUUCACAUGGCAGCCCCUAAGCUCUGGGUCUGAACACAACCCUUUUGGGGACACAGAACCUGACAGGGUCCCGGCUUGGGACCAGCCUUGCACAAAGAGCUCUGGUUUAAACAAUCACCGUUGUCCUCAGGGGCUAACACAACAGCCAUUCUUAUCAAAGUGGGAACUACUGCACUCUGCAGGAGGGCCUUCUCCUCUCCCAAGAGUGUGGAAACUUGCCUUGGCAAGUCCACUGGGGCCCUGCUUAUCGUUGUGGUACCAGAAGGUUAAGGGUGCAUUAAAAGAAUGUGUCUAACGCACAGGGAACUUGUAAAGCUAGAGGUGCCUCUCGGAGUUUGGCCACUUUUACUGCACACAAUUCCAGCGCCAUCUGACUAUCCUGACAUUUGCCUGGUUUAUUAUACAGGGACACAUGGGUGUGAGAUCGAGAGUGAGGAUGUUCAGGAUUUAAUUAGCAUGCAUCUGUCUUGGGUGUGUGCCCAGACGCUCUGUGAUGGGUGAAUCUGAAAAUCAAUACUAACAGUAAAAGACAAAUAGGGUAACACUAAUGAGCGCAAUAAUAAUAAUUUGUAAAACAAAUGCUAACUUUACAGGCUUCUUAGGUAGGGUUUGGGGCUUACUCCGAGGAAGCCUGAGUGAGCCA
Molecule: long non-coding RNA, 1971 nt
Filed under: Callithrix jacchus (white-tufted-ear marmoset)
Lineage: Eukaryota; Metazoa; Chordata; Mammalia; Primates; Cebidae
Description: lncRNA (ENSCJAG00000075565.1)
Source: RNAcentral